GUCAGGUGUGGUGGUGCACACCUGUAAUCCCAGUGACAUGGAGACUGAGACAGGUCAAUCAAGUUCAAGGCCAACUUAGGCAAUUUAGCAAGAACCUACCUCAA
Molecule: small RNA, 104 nt
Filed under: Marmota monax (woodchuck)
Lineage: Eukaryota; Metazoa; Chordata; Mammalia; Rodentia; Sciuridae
Source: RNAcentral